GUAGGAGGCAAGCGUUAUCCGGAUUCACUGGGCGUAAAGCGCGUGCAGGCGGUGCGGUAAGUUGGGUGUGAAAUCUCCCGGCUCAACUGGGAGAGGUCAUUCAAUACUACCGUACUCGAGAGUAGAAGAGGAAGAUGGAAUUCCCGGUGUAGUGGUGAAAUGCGUAGAUAUCGGGAGGAACACCAGUGGCGAAGGCGAUCUUCUGGUCUAUUUCUGACGCUCAGACGCGACAGCUAGGGUAGUAAACGGGAUUAGAGACCCCGGUAAUCCUAGCCGUAAACGAUGUGAACUUGGCGUUGGUGGGUUAAACUCCAUCAGUGCCGCAGCAAACGCGAUAAGUUCACCGCCUGGGGACUACGGCCGCAAGGUUAAA
RNAcentral lists this ribosomal RNA (373 nucleotides) under uncultured bacterium. RNAcentral's name for it is "bacterial SSU rRNA". It matches the Rfam family "Bacterial small subunit ribosomal RNA", at positions 527 to 898 of the family's 1533-position model. The record is from RNAcentral.